RNAcentral lists this microRNA (24 nucleotides) under Ascaris suum (pig roundworm). RNAcentral describes it as "asu-miR-100e-5p". Its record names the gene asu-miR-100e-5p. Lineage: Eukaryota; Metazoa; Nematoda; Chromadorea; Rhabditida; Ascarididae. The record is from miRBase by way of RNAcentral.
AACCUGAGGACCGUAUGCUGUGUU